This is a long non-coding RNA of Orcinus orca (killer whale), 5878 nucleotides long. RefSeq lists it as uncharacterized. Lineage: Eukaryota; Metazoa; Chordata; Mammalia; Artiodactyla; Delphinidae. The record is from RefSeq and is a predicted model, not a curated record. The transcript is spliced from 2 exons.
GGCCUGGCUUGUCCCCCCGACCCGGACAGGGCAGGGCCAGCGCGUCCUAUGUCCCGUUCCCUGUUCCUUACACCCAUCACCAAUCAGCUGGGUGUGCAGUAGCACAGGGACUGGAUUGAGACGGGUUGUCACUGAUGGGGAGGGGACAGAAGGACCAGAAAGGGAAGCGUGUCCCAUGCUCUCUGCUUCUCGCUGCCUCGGGGUUCUGGCGCCCUUCUGGAUGUGACUGAGGCCCACACACCGAGGCCUCCUGAUGCAGCAUCCUGGACUGGGCUCGCUUCUGUGGGGCGUUCUCAGAGGAAAAGGGGGUGCUCCUUUCCAUACAAAGCUCACAGUAAUAGUGCAUGAGACCAGCAGCUCCUUGGGGUGCAGUAAAGAAGGCAGAACACGGCAAUGGGCAGGGCUUCCCCUAGGGAAGCUUUAAAGGAGGCUUUGUGUUCCAUCCGUGCACGCACAGGUGUUAGACACCGAGAGCACAUGAGGAUGGGCUGCCUCAGUCCCGCCCUCCUGCUGGGCCCACACUUAGUCAUGUGGCUCCUCCCACCACUCCCAGGAAGCCCACCUGAGCUCACCUACUUGUGCCCUCAGGAGCACGACCAGCCUUGCUGGUUUCCACAAGAAAAGCUCUGUGUCCCACCCCCUACUGCCACCCCUAACAAUCUUCUUUUUUUUUGGUACGCGGGCCUCUCACUGUCGCGGUCUCUCCCGUUGUGGCGUCUUCCCGGACCGGGGCACGAACCCACGUCCCCUGCAGCAGCAGGUGGACUCUCAACCACUGCGCCACCAGGGAAGCCCCUCACCCCCUAACAAUCUUAUCAACAAAGUCACCUUCCAGUGUUUCCCCCUUCCCUUUAUGUUAGUUCAUUCAUUCAUUAACACAAGCCACCGUCAGCUUCUGACAUUAGCCUCUUAUGUCACUUCCUGCUUCCACGUUUUCUGCCUACGUAGUCCAUUCUCUGUACAGCAACCAGAGGGGUGUGUGUGUGUGUUUACUCAUUGCGAAAAUUACUCACGUCCUGUGUUAGUUUCUUAGGGCUGCCAUAACAAAUUACCACAAAUUGGCAGCUUGAAAACAAUCGAAAUGUAUUGUCACACAGUUCAGGAGGCCAGAACUCCAAAAUCAACGUGUUGGCAGGAUUGGUUCCCUCUGGAGGCUCUGAGGAAGAGUCUUUCCCAGCCUGUCCCCUAACUUCUGGUGGCUGCUGGCGACCCUGGGAAUCCUCUCUUUUCUCUUCCAGCUUCUGGUGGUUGUUGGCAAUCCUCGGUGUUCCCUGGUUUGUAGACUCAUCACUCCAACCUUUGCCUCUAUCUUCACAUGGUCUUUCCCUGUGUCUGUGUGUCUCAAAUCUCCCUCUCCUUUGUCUUAUAAGGACACCCAUCAUUGGAUGUGGACCCACCCUAAGUCCAGAAUGAUCUCAUCUUAAGAUCCUUAAUUACAUCUACAAUGAUGCUCUUUCCAAAUAAGGUCACAUUCACAGGUACUGGGGGUUAGGAUUGGACAUAUCUUUGGAGGAGGACACAACCCAUGGCACCUCUGCUCCCCCUUGUCCCAGAGCACUCAAAACACAGAUUCCAAACCCUCUGUGAGGCCCUGCGUGGGGGGCCCCUGCCCAGCUCUCCCUGACUCUCCCCCAUACUGUGCCCCAACCGUGGUGAUGUUUUUUGGGUUUGUUUUUUUUUACAGUGGUUAAUAUCUAGAUCCUUGAAGUGACUUGGUGCAGUAAUUUAUAAGCCCAAAAUUGGUUGAACAGACUCAGAACGUGUAGCUUUCCAAAAUGCCAUCUGAGAGCUGUUGGUUAGGACCGUGCCCAAAUCACAUAGGGCUGGCAUGUGUACAUCCUUCCAGCCUUUCUUCUUUGUGGUUGUAUUUUUAUACUCCAGAUUGAUAGUGUUCAGGUUCUAAACGUGUUGCUUUCGAAUGUUCAUUAAGCUUUCUUUCAUAUAGAAAUACUUUAAAAAAUUGGGGGAAUUCCCUGGUGGUCCAGUGGUUAGGACUCGGAGCUUUCAUUGCUGUGGGCCCGGGUCCCAUCCCUGGUCGGGGAACUAAGAUCACACAGCCGCGCAGCAUGGCCAAAAAAACAUAAAAAUUUAAAAAACUUUUUUUUUUUUUUUUUUUUUUUUUUUUGCUGUACGCGGGCCUCUCACUGUUGUGGCCUCUCCCGUUGCAGAGCACAGGCUCUGGACGCGCAGGCUCAGCGGCCAUGGCUCACAGGCCUAGCCGCUCUGUGGCAUGUGGGAUCUUCCUGGACCGGGGCACAAACCCGUAUCCCCUGCAUCGGCAGGCGGACUGUCAACAACUGCGCCACCAGGGAAGCCCUAAAAACACUUUUAAAAAUUUGGAUUUUUAAAUUUUCAAGACACCAUUUUCAUUUUUUGUUUUAUUACUUAAAUGCGAGGUGCUACCUCUUUACAAGAGCUUAACAGCAUAUAAUUUCUCAUUUAAUUGCACAUGUCAGAUCCUCACUAUGUGCAGAACACUGUACUAGCUGUAGUGUGUGUGUGUGUGUGUGUGUGUGUGUGUGUGUGUGUGUUUGCAACAAACGUGAAUGCACAUCCACUCCCAAGGAGAUUUUAAUUAAAGAAUAUUAUAAAAUUCUUGAAAAAAUUCUUGAGGAUUUACUAUAUUAAAUUCUUUAAUAUACAAGGAUAAAGAUGGGUAUGUGUUUGAGGUGCCAAAUAAACAGCAAAAAGACUUGCUUGAAAAUAUGUCUUUUCCAGAAAUUGUACCUCCAAACUUUCCGUUGUUCCCUUGAAUCAUACUAAUAAUAAUUUGCUACUCACUGGGGCUUUUCAGUUUAUUUACUUUUCAUAAGGAAUUGGCAAAGUUUGAUAAGGUGAACAAAAGGUCUGGUCUCUAGAUUCCUGUUGUGGUUUUAAAAUGGAAGCAGGCAGACAUAGCAUAGCCUUUCUCCUAUUUUGCCUAUAGUUAACAUCAAUUCAUAAAUUAAUGACUUAAGUAGUAAUGUGUUAGAGUCAUUUUCCAACUGACCUAUAUCUAAAAUUACUGGUAAAAUUGUCUAGAAUAAUUUUUAUUCCGUAGUGCAUUGAAUACAAUCUUUUAAAGAUUCUAGCCAUAUAGAAGUAUGGAGAAUGAAAAAUUUUAUUGAAGUAUAGUUGUUACAAUGUGUUAAUUUCUGCUGUACAGCAAAGUGACUCAGUUAUACACAUAUAUAUUCUUUGUCAUAUUCUUUUCCAUUAUGGUUUAUCACAGGAUAUUGAGUAUAGGUCCCUGUGCUAUACAAUAGGACCUUGUUGUUUAUCCGUCCUAUAUAUAAUAGUUUGCGUCUGCUGACCCCAAACUCCCAAUCCUUCCCUCCCCCAACCCCCUUCCCCUUGACAACCACAAGCCUCUUCUCUAUGUUUAUGACUUUGUUUCUGUUUCAUAGAUAUGUUCAUUUGUGUCAUAUUUUAGAUUCCACAUAUAAGUGAUAUAUGAGAAUGAAUUUUGUAUCGCUACCCUCGUCUCCCUCUUUGCACCUCUCUCCUUAGUAGGCAUAAUCACCAUAUACAAUUCAGUGUUCAUAUUUUCAGUCCUAUUUGGGUUUGAUGGACUGAGCUGCAAUUAUUUUGGACAAAGAUUUUUUUUGUUUGUUUGUUUUUUGUUUUUUUAUAAAUUUAUUUUAUUUAUUUAUUUUUGGCUGCGUUGGGCCUUCAUUGCUGCGCGCUGGCUUUUCUCUAGUUGCGGCGAGCAGGGGCUUCUCUUCGUUGCGGUGCGCGGGCUUCUCAUGCGGUGGCUUCUCUUGUUGUGGAGUACGGGCUCUAGGCACGCGGGUUCAGUAGUUGUGGUGCACGGGCUUAGUUGCUCCACAGCAUGUGGAAUCUUCCCGGACCAGGGCUCGAACCCGUGUCCCCUGCAUUAGCUGGCGGACUCUCAACCACUGCGCCACCAGGGUAGCCCUUGGUUCUAGCUUUGACCGGGCUUGAAAAGACCAAAAGAGCAUUGGAAGCAGCGCCCCUCCCAGAUUAAAUAAAUUAUGCAGAUGUACAGAGGUGCUUUGUGAAGCAGUUUAUUCUGGUGAGUAGCGCUGGUGUCCUUCGUGUCAACAUCGAGCUCUGUGACCUUGGACAACUCCUGUCCCUUCUUGGAGUUUGGGUUUCUUCCUCUGCAAAACCAGGGGGUUGGACUAAGGUUGUCAAAGUUUUGCCGCCUUCCUCCGCUUGCGUUUCUACCUCAGUCCCUCCCUUAGCCUCUUAACUAUCCUCCACUGAGAUCCCAUGUCCCUGCCCCGCAGGUUCCCUCCGUGGCCAGUCACUUAACGAGCUGUCCUUCCACGUGUUUUGUCGUCGUUGUCCUUCUGCACUUCAAUCUCCCUCUCACCAUCGACCUGCUCUAUCUUUCUGUAUUAAUCCCCAAAGCUAAGUCACUCUCACACCCACCUUCUCUGCCAAGACUUGUGUCAUUGGUGGAAUUCACGAAACCAUGCUGCCUGGAUCUCUUAUAAACUUACCAACCCAGCUGAACCGUAUCCAACCUCACUGCUGCCUGACACCCUCUCACUGCUUCUCUAUCAUCCUGUUUUCAUCACCGUUCGUCCAGCUCACUCCCUUCCUCUUCCUCUCCUGCUCUGCAGAUGACCUCACCUCCUUCCUGUUUACCUAAAGGGAAGACCAGCCUGUUUGCCACUUGCUCAUACCCUCCGAGAGUCUCUUCUUCCUGCACAUCUGAAAAGAGGCCCCUUUCCUUGAUAAAACAAACCCCCUUGUCUGCUGUGUCUACCAUUUUCUGAACUUUUCUACAAGAUAUUUGUGGAGCGUGUGUGUGCAUUUUAAGUGAAGGGUUACACUAAGAUUUCCCCAUUCUGUUACUCUUCUGUAUUUCCAGGUCCUCACUAGCUCACCCCUUUCUGCCUACAAACAUGUUCGGAUCUCUAAUCCUAAAGAAAAAGUUCUCGACUCUGCUCUCUACCCCCCACUCCACCCCCAGUUCUCUCUUUCUCCCUUUGUGAUCUCGCUCUUAUCAUUGACUUUUGAAGCUCACACACGCCCUCCCGGCCACCAAAGACCGGUCAUGUCUCCGUUCUUGUCAUCCUCACCGCUCUGAAACAGCUAAUGCCGGCAACCUGCCCUAAAAACCACCUCCUUCCUUUAACCACUGUUUGGCUGGGCUGCCCUGGCCCCCUCUCUGCCUCUUAGUGUGGCAUCACCACACCCUGACCUUGGCUCCCACUCCCAGGCUUCAUCUCCUUUUUUUUUUUUUUUUUUGCAGCACAUGGGCCUCUCACUGUUGUGGCCUCUUCCGUUGCGGAGCACAGGCUCCAGACACGCAGGCCCAGCGGCCAUGGCUCACGGGCCUAGCCGCUCCGCAGCGUGUGGGGUCUUCCCGGACCGGGGCACGAACCUGUGUCCCCUGCAUCGGCAGGCGGACUCUCAACCACUGCGCCACCAGGGAAGCCCUCAUCUCCUUUUGUCAGUGACUCCUACACCUGGUCCUCACCAUUACCUGCCAGCCCCUCCUGACUGCUUAGCACCAGCCGGGCUCUCACCACGGUCCCAACCACACAUCCACAGGCCCACCAGUCCCUCAUGCUCCGUAUCUCCAAAACCAAACUGCUGCUCGCUUUGUUUCCUCACUUACAUUUAACUGAAACCUGAAAUUCCAUUGUUAGCCUUAACGCAUUUCUUCUCAUGAGGUACUUUUCUUCUUUCUCUUUGAUUCUUGAGCAGUGUUUCAGGAUGAUGAAAUUAAUGGGAAUGAGUGAGGAAGUAAGAAGCUAGGGCAAGCAGGACAUGGGAAGCCAUGCAUCAAGGAAUAGGCAGUGUCCUCGUUGAGGGCUCAAGCUCCGGUCCUGGGGUUUAAAUCCUGACUCCACCACUUACUAGCUGUGUGACCUAGGGGAAGUCACUUGACCUCUCUGUGCCUUAAUUACCCCACCUAUAA